ACUCUUAAUCAGUGCAUCCUAAUUGUAUCUCAAACCAAUUAAUCCUGUGACCCCUCACAAAGAUUAUUCUGGCCAAGAUUUAAGCAUACUCUCCAAUGACUUAGGAGUGGUCAAUCCCAUUUUGACUCAAUACACCGACUUUACAAGUACUUGACUAUAUCUAAAAAUCUUCUAAUCUUAAAUUAAAAAUUCAAAUAGUCCAGCAUCAAGGCACAGUGAGUUGCUUGUAAGUCACCGUGGUGAUC
Molecule: long non-coding RNA, 245 nt
Filed under: Elaeis guineensis (African oil palm)
Lineage: Eukaryota; Viridiplantae; Streptophyta; Magnoliopsida; Arecales; Arecaceae
Description: long non-coding RNA (EGUI_LNC068047)
Source: RNAcentral